CGGAGGGUGCAGGCGUUAUCCGGAUUCACUGGGUUUAAAGGGUGCGUAGGCGGAUAGGUAAGUCCGUGGUGAAAUCCUGCAGCUUAACUGCAGAACUGCCGUGGAUACUAUCUAUCUUGAAUAUCGUGGAGGUUAGCGGAAUAUGUCAUGUAGCGGUGAAAUGCUUAGAUAUGACAUAGAACACCCAUUGCGGAGGCAGCUAACUACGCGGUAACUGACGCUGAUGCACGAAAGCGUGGGGAUCAAACAGGACUAGAUACCCUGGUAGUCCACGCCCUAAACGAUGAUUACUCGACAUUGGUGAUACACAGUCAGUGUCUGAGCGAAAGCAUUAAGUAAUCCACCUGGGAAGUACGAUCGCAAGAUUG
This 368-nucleotide ribosomal RNA is filed under the name uncultured organism. RNAcentral's name for it is "bacterial SSU rRNA". It matches the Rfam family "Bacterial small subunit ribosomal RNA", at positions 526 to 896 of the family's 1533-position model. The record is from RNAcentral.